This 484-nucleotide ribosomal RNA is filed under the name uncultured bacterium. RNAcentral's name for it is "partial 16S ribosomal RNA". It matches the Rfam family "Bacterial small subunit ribosomal RNA", at positions 30 to 507 of the family's 1533-position model. The record is from RNAcentral.
AGUGAACGCUGGCGGCAGGCCUAACACAUGCAAGUCGAGCGGCAGCGCGGGGGCAACCCUGGCGGCGAGCGGCGGACGGGUGAGGAAUUCGUCGGAAUCUGCCUUUUUGUGGGGGAUAACGUAGGGAAACUUACGCUAAUACCGCAUACGUCCUACGGGAGAACGUGGGGGACCGCAAGGCCUCACGCAGAAAGAUGAGCCGACGACCGAUUAGCUAGUUGGUGGGGUAAAGGCCCACCAAGGCGACGAUCGGUAGCUGGUCUGAGAGGAUGAUCAGCCACACUGGGACUGAGACACGGCCCAGACUCCUACGGGAGGCAGCAGUGGGGAAUAUUGGACAAUGGGCGCAAGCCUGAUCCAGCCAUGCCGCGUGUGUGAAGAAGGCCUUCGGGUUGUAAAGCACUGUUGUCCGGAAAGAAAACCCUGGAGCUAAUACCUGCGGGGGAUGACGGUACCGGAAGAAUAAGCACCGGCUAACUUCGUG